This 685-nucleotide ribosomal RNA is filed under the name uncultured bacterium. Its description in RNAcentral is "bacterial SSU rRNA". It matches the Rfam family "Bacterial small subunit ribosomal RNA", at positions 582 to 1267 of the family's 1533-position model. The record is from RNAcentral.
AUUAAGUCAGUUGUGAAAGCCCUGGGCUCAACCUGGGAACUGCAUCUGAUACUGGUAGUCUAGAGUUUAAGAGAGGGAAGUGGAAUUCCAGGUGUAGCAGUGAAAUGCGUAGAUAUCUGGAGGAACAUCAGUGGCGAAGGCGACUUCCUGGCUUAAAACUGACGCUGAGGUGCGAAAGCGUGGGUAGCGAACGGGAUUAGAUACCCCGGUAGUCCACGCCGUAAACGAUGUCAACUAGUUGUUGGUCUUAUUAAAAAGAUUAGUAACGAAGCUAACGCGAUAAGUUGACCGCCUGGGGAGUACGGUCGCAAGAUUAAAACUCAAAGGAAUUGACGGGGGCCCGCACAAGCGGUGGAGCAUGUGGUUUAAUUCGAUGCAACGCGAAGAACCUUACCAUCCCUUGACAUACAGAGAAGUUACUAGAGAUAGUUUCGUGCCUUCGGGAACUCUGAUACAGGUGCUGCAUGGCUGUCGUCAGCUCGUGUCGUGAGAUGUUGGGUUAAGUCCCGCAACGAGCGCAACCCUUAUCAUUAGUUGCUACCAUUAAGUUGAGAACUCUAAUGAGACUGCCGGUGAUAAACCGGAGGAAGGCGGGGACGACGUCAAGUCAUCAUGGCCCUUAUGGGAUGGGCUACACACGUGCUACAAUGGGGGGUACAAAGAGCAGCCAACUGGCAACAGUGAG